This 497-nucleotide ribosomal RNA is filed under the name uncultured bacterium. RNAcentral describes it as "partial 16S ribosomal RNA". It matches the Rfam family "Bacterial small subunit ribosomal RNA", at positions 28 to 507 of the family's 1533-position model. The record is from RNAcentral.
GAUGAACGCUGGCGGCGUGCCUAAUACAUGCAAGUCGAGCGAACAGACGAGGAGCUUGCUCCUCUGACGUUAGCGGCGGACGGGUGAGUAACACGUGGAUAACCUACCUAUAAGACUGGGAUAACUUCGGGAAACCGGAGCUAAUACCGGAUAAUAUAUUGAACCGCAUGGUUCAAUAGUGAAAGACGGUUUUGCUGUCACUUAUAGAUGGAUCCGCGCCGCAUUAGCUAGUUGGUAAGGUAACGGCUUACCAAGGCAACGAUGCGUAGCCGACCUGAGAGGGUGAUCGGCCACACGGGAACUGAGACACGGUCCAGACUCCUACGGGAGGCAGCAGUAGGGAAUCUUACGCAAUGGGCGAAAGCCCGACGGAGCAACGCCGCGUGAGUGAUGAAGGUCUUCGGAUCGUAAAACUCUGUUAUUAGGGAAGAACAAAUGUGUAAGUAACUAUGCACGUCUUGACGGUACCUAAUCAGAAAGCCACGGCUAACUACGUG